CAGAAACCAUAUAUAUUCCAACAAUUGUACAUGGAAGAAGAACCUUUCGCCAAUGCAAACAACAAAACUCAAAAUUAACUAAGUCAUUGACAAAUAAGUAAAAACUUUCACUGCACUUGCAGGAAAUGAACUAAAUAUCUCGAUCUGCUUAAGCAACAUUGAAAACAUAUGAAAAUCUUUAAAAACAAAACUGGAAUUAAAUAAAACAGAUAUCUCAACUUCCACAAUCAAUCUUAUACGACACAUGCCAAAACCUAAUUCAUCCUUCUAAUGAGUUCAUUGAUGUAGUCCUCCCUGUUACCAGCAUCACCACCUUCAACAUAGUGAUUUCUCUUCUUCUUCAUGCCACCCAAAGGAGCUUUGAGCUUGAAAGGCCAUAGGAAGUUGUUUGCCUCUCUGAAGUGAGGUCCAACAGUAAGGAUCUCAUGAAUGAGAUCUUCAAUGCAAAUGAUACCAUGUUUCCCGAGAACCUGCAAUUGAAUAUUAUGUCAGAUGAAAAAUAGAAAAAAAUUAACUGGUAAUAUAACCUUCAACAAUAAUAAUAGCACCACCAUACACGGGACAUCAAGACUAUGAUUGCUCAAGAAAUCACAUAUUAGACAUCUGGACUGUCUCGUCAAAUUUAAACAACUUGCAUUCUAACUUUGGCAAAUUAGGUAAAAUAGAGUCGGAAUGAGGAGAGAUCCCAUCUAGGACUGACAGUUCAGAUUGACGACUGUGUGAUUGAAAGAAUGAAGGGAAUAGAAAUUAAAGACGGACCUGCUCAAUGAUAGAGUUGUCAGUCAAAGCAAUUCUCUGCCUAUCAACCUUUCCAUAACCGCGCUUGUAGAUCAAUUCUCUGACACUCUUCAGAUUGGGAUAUCUAAAAUAAAAUAGCAUAUAUUAAGAACUUGUACCGAGUAAUAACGAAGAGCGAUAAUCUGGACUUGAGAUAAUUUGAGAUUCUGCAUACCCGUAGGUGACAUAUGGCUCAACCCUGUGAAGCAUAUUCACGGUCGCUUUGUUUACUUUGAGAAAGACACCAUUGCAGAUCUGCAGCCAAAACAAUUGGAAGAAUAAGCCUACACCCAUAUAUUGAUUGCACCGAGUCUAAAUUAUAAAAGUAUUCAAGAAAUGGAAAAAGAGGUCCAGAAGCAAAAGAAUAAAGAGAUAUAUAAAAGGUUGAAAUUUCAGCACACAACACCAUAUCUCCAAGCUAAAAUUCAACUUUUUUAUUCAGAAAAAAUUACAUGGAUGGAGAUCUAAAUCACUUGGUAAUAAUGGAUCAAACAAGGAGCAGUUCUGUGAAAAGCUUUAAUAGUAAAGUCAAGGUUAUAAUACAUGCAAAUCCUACCUAGUAUCAAACAAUUAGUAAGGACAAAAACAAGAGAUCAAAAGUAAAUGCACAAGAUUUUACCCAUUGUAUUAAAUUAAAUUUCAUUCAUUUCAAUAUUAUAAUAUAUCAUAGAUACAUGUACAUCCUAAAUCCUAAAUAACACAAAGCACAUCCUAAAUAAAAUAAAUAAGCAAAAACAACUUUUGAGUGAAAACCAAAUGCAACUUUAAACUCUCGGGUAUUAGACAUUUAGAUAGAGUAAUUUUGGAUAGCUUAUAUUGUCUAGCUUAUCACAUGAAAUGAACAAUAAUAUAUAGUUGCAUACACUAAUGGCAUUAGAUGAAAGCUUAAUUCAACAAGCACAACAUUUUAACUCAAUUUAACAAGAGAUCAACAUUGAAUAACCCCUAAAUCAUAGGUUCAUUGCAUGAUACAUGAAACAGCACAUCCAUAAACACAACUCAGCACAAAAAACAAGCGUACAAAAAACAGGCGUACAACUCUUUCUAUAAACCAACAAGUGAUUAUAACUUAAAAUGAUACACACAACAUUCCUUGACAAGUUCCUCAAUCAAAAAUGAAAUUACUACUAAGCAACACCCAUCACCUGUCUCAAACGCAAAAGCUGCAAAAUCUUCCUUGAUUUUGGGUCCAUUGCAUUGAUACUGAAAUUAUAAACAAAUUUAUAAAGUUCACAUUAAUUAAUUAACAAAAAAAUAAUAACAAAUAACCCACAAAGGAUACACAAGUAUAAUAGGGUUAAAUAUCUUAUUAGUCCUACAUAAAAGAUAUUCAAAUUUAGGAUCUAAAUGCACCCAUUUUUUCCUCUAUCAUUCUUCCAAAACGGAGACCAAAAUUGUAUAAAAAAAAAAGAUAAUUUCAAAACUAAAAACAUUAUUAAUCUAGUAUAAAAUAAAAUAAAAUAAAAUAGAGAAAAUGACAUACCCUCUGAUCCUGAUAAUGAACAAAAGCUUAGCUUCAGGAUCAACAUAAAAUCCACCCUUAAGCUUAGCUUCACGCUUCAACGCAAUCAACUCCUUUUGCUGAACACACAAAUUAAACAAACAAAUGAAUGAUUAUAUCAAAUUAAAUUAGCUUAAUCAUUACAAUUAGAAAAUUACCGAGUCAUCGUAUUCCUUAGCGUACUGUUUGGCUCUACUCCAAAUAAGCUUCCUUGUCUCAGAUCGCUUCUUCUUAGCUGAUUCCUGUUCCUGUUUCUUCACCAAUGCCCAUUCCUCAUUCCUUUUCUGUUUCUUCAAAACCGAUUCAGGAACAACGGUUUUCACUUCCUCCUUGGCCAUUUCAGUGAAUCGAUGUUGUUGUGGUUCUGUUCUGUUCUGUGAA
Molecule: long non-coding RNA, 2659 nt
Filed under: Medicago truncatula (barrel medic)
Lineage: Eukaryota; Viridiplantae; Streptophyta; Magnoliopsida; Fabales; Fabaceae
Description: lncRNA gene9288
Source: RNAcentral